Paenibacillus uliginis N3/975 is the source of this 143-nucleotide non-coding RNA. NCBI's taxonomy places the organism in Bacteria, Bacillati, Bacillota, Bacilli, Caryophanales, Paenibacillaceae. The record is from Rfam.
UCCGUCGUGAGGCGGAAUCUGAAGGAAGCCGGAUGCAAAUGCACGGGCCAAAGUAUACGAACUGGGUUUGAGGCAGGGUUACUCGGAUUUUUCUAAAAUUUACGAUUAUAAAUUAAGAGCUUAUUUCAAUGAGCGCAUUCGUG